UGGGGUAUGGUGUAAUUGGCAACACGGGUGAUUCUGGUUCAUCUGUUCUUGGUUCGAGUCCAGGUACCCCAG
This 72-nucleotide transfer RNA is filed under the name Bombiscardovia coagulans. Its description in RNAcentral is "Bifidobacteriaceae bacterium BLAPIII-AGV tRNA". It matches the Rfam family "tRNA". Rfam says of the family: Transfer RNA (tRNA) molecules are approximately 80 nucleotides in length. Their secondary structure includes four short double-helical elements and three loops (D, anti-codon, and T loops). The record is from Rfam by way of RNAcentral. RNAcentral also lists the same sequence under 2 other names. Lineage: Bacteria; Bacillati; Actinomycetota; Actinomycetes; Bifidobacteriales; Bifidobacteriaceae.